AUUGGAUCCCUGAUACCCCUGAUAGCAUUCCUGCAAACGCGUCACACCGUGUCGGCGUUGGUGCUUUUGUUGUCAAUAACAAGAGAGAGGUGCUUGUGGUUCAGGAAACCAGUGGUAGAUUUGGAGGCACAGGUGUAUGGAAGAUGCCUACAGGAGCUGUGAAUGAAGUAUACGUCGAAAUGAUUAUUGAUCAAAUUAUGAAAAUGGAAAUUCAAUCUUUUGAGUUUUGACAUGUUUUAAUUCUAUUUGCAGGGUGAAGAUAUUUGUGAUGCUGUAAUUAGAGAAGUGAAGGAAGAGACAGGGGUUGAAACAAAGGCACAUAUGGUACUUGUUGCAUUCUCAAGUUCGUUAAACAGUCAGGACAGCUGCUCCUUUGCAGGAACUGGCAUCCAAACAUGUGAU
Molecule: long non-coding RNA, 402 nt
Organism: Lathyrus oleraceus (garden pea)
Lineage: Eukaryota; Viridiplantae; Streptophyta; Magnoliopsida; Fabales; Fabaceae
Exons: 3
Source: RefSeq, a predicted model, not a curated record